CCUGUGGAGUGUUAUAUCAAACUGUAGUAGCUUAGGCAAGGCAGGACACGCUGAAACAGGAA
Molecule: non-coding RNA, 62 nt
Submitted as: unclassified sequences
Source: Rfam